Molecule: ribosomal RNA, 437 nt
Filed under: Helcococcus sp. canine oral taxon 069
Lineage: Bacteria; Bacillati; Bacillota; Tissierellia; Tissierellales; Peptoniphilaceae
Description: bacterial SSU rRNA
Rfam family: Bacterial small subunit ribosomal RNA
Source: RNAcentral
GAGUUUGAUUCUGGCUCAGGACAAACGCUGGCGGCGUGCAUAACACAUGCAAGUCGAACGAAAUCUACAUGAUUUAGUGGCGAACGGGUGAGUAACACGUGAGAAACCUGCCUUACACAGAGGGAUAGCCGUUGGAAACGACGAUUAAUACCUCAUGACACCGUGACAUCGCAUGAUGAUGCGGUCAAAGAUUUAUCGGUGUAAGAUGGUCUCGCGCCUGAUUAGCCGGUUGGUGGGGUAACGGCCUACCAAGGCGACGAUCAGUAGCCGAUCUGAGAGGGUGGACGGCCACAUUGGGACUGAGACACGGCCCAAACUCCUACGGGAGGCAGCAGUGGGGAAUUUUGCACAAUGGGGGAAACCCUGAUGCAGCGACGCCGCGUGAACGAAGAAGGCCUUCGGGUUGUAAAGUUCUGUCCUUGGUGAAGAUAAUGACA